UUACUUUGGUAGCAGAUAUACUAAAAUUGGAAUGAUAUAGAGAUUAGCAUCACGCCUGCACAAGGAUGACAUACAAAUUUGUGAAAUGUACCAUGUUUUU
This 100-nucleotide small nuclear RNA is filed under the name Colobus angolensis palliatus. Lineage: Eukaryota; Metazoa; Chordata; Mammalia; Primates; Cercopithecidae. The record is from RNAcentral.